RNAcentral lists this ribosomal RNA (442 nucleotides) under uncultured bacterium. RNAcentral describes it as "bacterial SSU rRNA". It matches the Rfam family "Bacterial small subunit ribosomal RNA", at positions 30 to 476 of the family's 1533-position model. The record is from RNAcentral.
AUUGAACGCUGGCGGCGUGCCUAACACAUGCAAGUCGAGCGGUAACAGGUGUAGCAAUACAUGCUGACGAGCGGCGAACGGGUGAGUAAUGCUUCGGAAUCUACCCAAUGGUGGGGAAUAACCAGCCGAAAGGUUGGCUAAUACCGCAUACGUCCCACGGGAGAAAGCAGGGGAUCGCAAGACCUUGCGCCAAUGGAUGAGCCGAAGUCGGAUUAGCUAGNGGUAGGGUAACGGCCUACCAAGGCGACGAUCCGUAGCUGGUCUGAGAGGACGACCAGCCACACUGGGACUGAGACACGGCCCAGACUCCUACGGGAGGCAGCAGUGGGGAAUAUUGGACAAUGGGGGAAACCCUGAUCCAGCGACGCCGCGUGUGUGAAGAAGGCCUGCGGGUUGUAAAGCACUUUUAGUGGGAUGAAAUGUUCAGGGUUAACACCUCUGG